Molecule: small nuclear RNA, 163 nt
Filed under: Chelonia mydas (Green sea turtle)
Lineage: Eukaryota; Metazoa; Chordata; Testudines; Cheloniidae
Description: U1 spliceosomal RNA
Rfam family: U1 spliceosomal RNA
About the family: U1 is a small nuclear RNA (snRNA) component of the spliceosome (involved in pre-mRNA splicing). Its 5' end forms complementary base pairs with the 5' splice junction, thus defining the 5' donor site of an intron. There are significant differences in sequence and secondary structure between metazoan and yeast U1 snRNAs, the latter being much longer (568 nucleotides as compared to 164 nucleotides in human).
Source: Rfam by way of RNAcentral
AUACUUACCUGGCAGGGAGAUACCAUGAUCACAAAGGUGGUUUUCCCAGGGUGAGGCUCAUCCAUUGCACUGCGGGUGUGCUGACCCCUGCGAUUUCCCCAAAUGCGGGAAACUCGACUGCAUAAUUUGUGGUAGUGGGGGACUGCGUUCGCGCUCUCCCCUG